RNAcentral lists this ribosomal RNA (439 nucleotides) under uncultured bacterium. RNAcentral describes it as "partial 16S ribosomal RNA". It matches the Rfam family "Bacterial small subunit ribosomal RNA", at positions 339 to 795 of the family's 1533-position model. The record is from RNAcentral.
CUACGGGUGGCACCAGUGAGGAAUAUUGCACAAUGGGGGGAACCCUGAUGCAGCAACGCCGCGUGGAGGAUGACGCAUUUCGGUGUGUAAACUCCUUUUAUAUGUCAAGAAAAUGACGGUAGCAUAUGAAUAAGCACCGGCUAACUCCGUGCCAGCAGCCGCGGUAAUACGGAGGGUGCAAGCGUUACUCGGAAUCACUGGGCGUAAAGGACGCGUAGGCGGGUUGGAAAGUCAGGUGUGAAAUCCUACAGCUUAACUGUAGAACUGCACUUGAAACUUCUAAUCUAGAGUAUGGGAGGGGGAGAUGGAAUUAGUGGUGUAGGGGUAAAAUCCGUAGAUAUCACUAGGAAUACCUAAAGCGAAGGCGAUCUCCUGGAACAUUACUGACGCUGAGGCGCGAAGGCGUGGGGAGCAAACAGGAUUAGAUACCCGGGUAGUC